AUUUUAGCCUCAACAUGCUUAAUUGUGGAUACUGUGUUCAAAAUUGCCAAAUCAAGAUAUAUUUUUAAAUUAGGAUGUAAUAUUGACAAUUAAUAUUUUAAUGUUUGACAAUCAGAUUUUUCUUUUUGAAGAAAACAAAUUUUUUUUUUUCAAAUUCUAUAUAUUGGGAAUUGUGGAACGGAACUAAAUCGGAUCGGUCUUCACGAUCCAUUUCAGGUUUGAUUUUAUGUUAUAACCGUUUCCGUUCUAGUUUUAUAGGAAGUCAGUAUAAUUUGUCCAUAUAUAAAAUAUGUACACAUAAAAAAAAAUAACUAAAAAAAUAAAAAAUUGAGAAUUUCCUUUCCUUUUCUUAAAAUUCCAUUCCGAGAAGAAUUUGGUCAGGCAAGGAAAAGAAAUAAUGGCAAAGAAAAGAAAUCAAUCGUGACGAUCUUGUCAACAGGAAGAGGAAGAAAUUGGGGCAAAUCCAUGGCAGACAUGAUAGUGUCCACUGCAAAGAGGAGAAAUCGGUUGCCGAUCAGAAGAGGAGUGGCCAAAGCAACAGCAACGGCGGCAACGACAGCGGUGACCACGAAGGCGGCGGAGAAAAGAAAUCAUCAGUCAUGCAUUCUAGAUCGUCUUCCUCCCCAGAUCAUUAUCCCUACGCCUUCACCCUAGAAGCAGCAGCCUAUGGCGACAUUGUGGCUUCUCCAGUAAAGAUGGACCUGCACUAUAAUCGGUCCUUGCCAUGGGUUGUUGUGCUCGAAGUUCGGCAGAACAGAUUUUUAUGUAUCCAAUCUCUCCACCAAAGAGUCCAAGCGAAUACCCGAAACUGAGGUUAAAUUCUGUUUUUGGGAUGGUUUUUGUGUAAAGGGAUUUGGCUAUGAUCACUCCGUUGAUGAUUACAAACUGGUGACAGCAGAUAAAAAAAAGCUAUUAUGUAUAUUCACUAAGAACUGAUUCCUGGAAAAAGGUUCGAGGCCUUCCUAACAAUCACAAGAAUAGAGUCUUGAGCCCGGGGUACUGGUGAAUGGAGCUAUCCACUGGAUCUAUGAUGACCGCGGGUCAAGAAAGAUUGUUGCUUUCUGUUUGGCGGACGAGAAAUUUUGGGAGUUUCCGGAUCCUAUUCCCUCUAUCAAACACAUCCACGGCUUGGGGUUGCUUGGAGGAUGUCUUUGUAUUACUCCAUAUAAUGGUGGUGAAUUCUGGGUGAUGAAAGAAUAUGGCGUGGCACAGUCUUGGACUAAAGUUGCCAUUGAAAUCCCAUCUUACAGAAUCCGUCUGUUUGCUUUGUUGGAGAACCAUGAAGCCAUAUUAAAGAUAGACUCCGAGAAGUUAGUUCUAUACAAUACAAGAGAGGGAACAUACAGGGAUCUGGUACUUCGGAAUUUCCCAGAUGUGAAGAAGAUGAUGUAUGCGGGAGCUUAUGUGGAGAGCAUCGUAUCACCCUGUCAUGGAAGUUUGAGUUAGAGGCAAUAUCAUGAACAAAUUUAUUUCAGGAUGACUGGAUAGGUAUGCCAAAUAACUAUUUCAUGUCUUUUUUCACUGUUAUUUUCAAUUCAAUGAAGCAAGCAUUGUUCUGUAUUACUAUUCCUCAAAAGACAUUCUAUAUGCUUGAGGUUUUCAAUAUGUAGGAGGGUUUUUGGUGUUUGA
Cornus florida is the source of this 1629-nucleotide long non-coding RNA. RefSeq lists it as uncharacterized. NCBI's taxonomy places the organism in Eukaryota, Viridiplantae, Streptophyta, Magnoliopsida, Cornales, Cornaceae. The transcript is spliced from 2 exons. The record is from RefSeq and is a predicted model, not a curated record.